AGUGAUACUGAGCCCUUAUAUGGCAAGAGCUUUCUGGUGAUGGGCAGGCAUGUGGAUAUUCUUACCGGGACACCAAGCUAAGGAAAAAUGACCGUCACUCUCCAACAUCUAUUUGAUCCCACCCCCAAGACUCCUAGUAAAAUCUUUACCAAAACCUCUUGUAGGAUGCUCCCAUCAGUGGCUUUAGUCUUUUUGAAGCUUCAAAUUCCAGGUGCUAUUUGCUGUCACGCUCCACAUGUCUCACAUAAGG
This is a long non-coding RNA of Mustela lutreola (European mink), 250 nucleotides long. RefSeq lists it as uncharacterized. NCBI's taxonomy places the organism in Eukaryota, Metazoa, Chordata, Mammalia, Carnivora, Mustelidae. The transcript has 3 exons. The record is from RefSeq and is a predicted model, not a curated record.